Molecule: long non-coding RNA, 760 nt
Filed under: Equus caballus (horse)
Lineage: Eukaryota; Metazoa; Chordata; Mammalia; Perissodactyla; Equidae
Description: lncRNA (ENSECAG00000053367.1)
Source: RNAcentral
AAGAAAGCCAGAUGGCAACACAGCACACUUUCCUGGGCAGUCUGAGUUUCUCCUAAGCACCAAGUUGACAGAAAUGCCUUGGGAAUGGGAUUGCAACCUGCACCCAUCUGUGCUCGGAUCCCUUCUCUGGAGAGAUUAGUUACUCUAUAGCAAAAGAAUUUGGAAUCUUCUGCCCCACCGGCACCAAUCCCAGCUGGCGGGAGAGACAGAGGGAAUGAACAGAGACACUGGUUUAUAAGGGACACAGAAUCAGAUGGACCGCUUCACUUCAGGUCCUGGGACUGAGAGGAGAUUGCAGUCUCAGUUACACGUCUGAAUGCAGAAGUGUUGCCGGAACAACCUCCGGAAGACUUUGUAAAGGAAUUAAACAGAGAGCUCCUUCCUGAGGAGUCCGAAGGGAGAAAGAGCCCUCGCUAGUAGUCAGCACCCAAUCUGAGUUCCCAACACGGAAGAGGCGCUGAAUUCUCCGAGGAAAGCAGUUCAUUGAAAUAGAGGGGAUAAAUGCCUGUGGAAAAUAGUUGUCUUUCUGGCAUGCAAGUCGACAAUCAUGAGAUUCCUUGUGGAAGUCGGUGCUUUAUGAAACUAGCAGCAGCAACUUUGGCCCUGUUAUGCAUAUCAAAGAAUGUAGAAAAGAGAGCUAUCAGGGACCUAGACUUUUGGUGUUUGAUCAGAUCUGAGCCCACCUGGAAAUGACACAUUUCAGAAUGGAGUCUGAGUGAAGGAUUUUCUAGAAACUGUGAAUACAUUCAUUCCUCCUAUA